GCGGCAGGCUAACACAUGCAAGUCGAGCGGUAACAGAAAGUAGCUUGCUACUUUGCUGACGAGCGGCGGACGGGUGAGUAAUGCUUGGGAACAUGCCUUGAGGUGGGGGACAACAGUUGGAAACGACUGCUAAUACCGCAUAAUGUCUACGGACCAAAGGGGGCUUCGGCUCUCGCCUUUAGAUUGGCCCAAGUGGGAUUAGCUAGUUGGUGAGGUAAUGGCUCACCAAGGCAACGAUCCCUAGCUGGUUUGAGAGGAUGAUCAGCCACACUGGAACUGAGACACGGUCCAGACUCCUACGGGAGGCAGCAGUGGGGAAUAUUGCACAAUGGGCGAAAGCCUGAUGCAGCCAUGCCGCGUGUGUGAAGAAGGCCUUCGGGUUGUAAAGCACUUUCAGUCAGGAGGAAAGGGUGUGAGUUAAUACCUCACAUCUGUGACGUUACUGACAGAAGAAGCACCGGCUAACUCCGUGCCAGCAGCCGCGGUAAUACGGAGGGUGCGAGCGUUAAUCGGAAUUACUGGGCGUAAAGCGUACGCAGGCGGUUUGUUAAGCGAGAUGUGAAAGCCCCGGGCUCAACCUGGGAACUGCAUUUCGAACUGGCAAACUAGAGUGUGAUAGAGGGUGGUAGAAUUUCAGGUGUAGCGGUGAAAUGCGUAGAGAUCUGAAGGAAUACCGAUGGCGAAGGCAGCCACCUGGUCAACACUGACGCUCAUGUACGAAAGCGUGGGGAGCAAACGGGAUUAGAUACCCCGGUAGUCCACGCCGUAAACGAUGUCUACUAGAAGCUCGGAACCUCGGUUCUGUUUUUCAAAGCUAACGCAUUAAGUAGACCGCCUGGGGGAGUACGGCCGCAAGGUUAAAACUCAAAUGAAUUGACGGGGCCGACAGGUGAGCAUGUGGUUAUUCGAUGAACGGGAGA
RNAcentral lists this ribosomal RNA (920 nucleotides) under Pseudoalteromonas sp. H15. RNAcentral describes it as "bacterial SSU rRNA". It matches the Rfam family "Bacterial small subunit ribosomal RNA", at positions 39 to 968 of the family's 1533-position model. Lineage: Bacteria; Pseudomonadati; Pseudomonadota; Gammaproteobacteria; Alteromonadales; Pseudoalteromonadaceae. The record is from RNAcentral.